UACGUAGGGUGCGAGCGUUGUCCGGAAUUAUUGGGCGUAAAGGGCUCGUAGGCGGUUUGUCGCGUCGGGAGUGAAAUCCACUGGCUUAACUGGUGGCUUGCUUUCGAUACGGGCAGACUGGAGGUAUGCAGGGGAGAACGGAAUUCCUGGUGUAGCGGUGAAAUGCGCAGAUAUCAGGAGGAACACCGGUGGCGAAGGCGGUUCUCUGGGCAUGUCCUGACGCUGAGGAGCGAAAGUGUGGGGAGCGAAUAGG
RNAcentral lists this ribosomal RNA (253 nucleotides) under uncultured bacterium. RNAcentral describes it as "partial 16S ribosomal RNA". It matches the Rfam family "Bacterial small subunit ribosomal RNA", at positions 524 to 776 of the family's 1533-position model. The record is from RNAcentral.